CCAUUAUACAUUGUACAAAGCAAAGAGGUUCCCGAUUAAACUGUGUUUGAAGAAGAUUCCUCGGUGUGGCGUCUUUCUUGCUGGUCAAGGGUGGACGCCACAAGUGGUGGCCUGUACGGGGAAUUCAGAACUUCUCACAGUCGGGGCGGCGCCGGAUGGCCAAUAAUUUCACGGAGAACAGCAACCUGAGUUGGCAGCUGAGUGCCUACCUUCAGGGAAAUUGGAGUCAACAGUUCGAGAACCUGACAGACA
RNAcentral lists this long non-coding RNA (252 nucleotides) under Cricetulus griseus (Chinese hamster). RNAcentral describes it as "lncRNA (ENSCGRG00015041026.1)". Lineage: Eukaryota; Metazoa; Chordata; Mammalia; Rodentia; Cricetidae. The record is from RNAcentral.